Molecule: ribosomal RNA, 254 nt
Filed under: uncultured prokaryote
Description: partial 16S ribosomal RNA
Rfam family: Bacterial small subunit ribosomal RNA
Source: RNAcentral
UAAUACGGAGGGUGCAAGCGUUAAUCGGAAUUACUGGGCGUAAAGCGCACGCAGGUGGCUGAGAUAGUCGAUUGUGAAAGCCCUGGGCUUAACCUGGGAAUUGCAUUCGAUACUACUCAGCUAGAGUGUGGGAGAGGGAAGUGGAAUUCCCGGUGUAGCGGUGAAAUGCGUAGAUAUCGGGAGGAACAUCAGUGGCGAAGGCGGCUUCCUGGCCCAACACUGACACUCAGGUGCGACAGCGUGGGGAGCAAACA